UUUUUAUUCACCGGUAAGAUUUUUAUAUAUUGUAGAAAAUUUGAAGCAGAAGUACAAACUACAAAGUUUAUAAUACUACGAACAUAAAAGUAUAUGAACAGCAAAUUAUUAGCAGACAUAACAACCUGUAAAUGGUUGGCAAUUCUGUACAUUUUAUUGUCCUUUUGAUUUGGUACUACUACUGCUAUAGCGAUAUUUGCGUAGGGUUUCAUGGCUGGUUAAUAUGAUUUCAAAGUCCUUGCUGUAGUGUCUGCACACUUGUAUUUAUUUAGUAUUUUAGUAUAUUAAAUUUUCCUUGACAAACUUUGAGUGAUAUCCUUGCCAGGUUCAUGCCAGCAGUUGUUUAUAAUUACUGUGUAGUUAUAUGAAAUCUCACUUACAUGACAUGUAGACAAGUGAACAAAUACUUUGCUAGCUAGGCGGCUAGGCCAAAGACAUCAGGUUCAAACCAUUCAAUACCCAUUGCAAUCAAGCAAUUACCGUAAACAUAUAAGCCCUCCCCCCCAAUAUAAGCCCCCCCUGUGUAUAAUCCCAUCAUAUUUACUCAGGCUAUUCCGAAUAUAAGCCCCUCCCCCCUCUAAUGUAAGCCAGGCCUGUGUGUACAAGCCCAUGGGCUUAUAUUAUUUGACAGGGGCCGGUUGUAUCAAGCCCGUUAAGCUUAAUUUCUCAUGAAUCAGUCAACUUAAAUAUUCUGCAGUGAAUAUGUAGUUGUAAACAUCAUUCUAUUAAGGUUCAAAACUUCUAGUUUGGUUGUUGAAUGAAUCUAUAGAGUCUGAGUUGCUUUCUAUUUUGAGCUUAACCAACGUUUAAGCUAAACAGGCUUGAUACAAUUGGCUCCAGGUAUAUUUAUUAAAUGCAGCUUUAGCCAUACAUAUUAGAAUACAAGCCCAGGGCUAGCUGGCUUACAUUCAGAGGCCGGUUUACAAUAUCUCACCCAACAUAUAGUUUGUCAGAGUUCUAUAAAUCCCACAGUCAUUAGAGGUAAUAUAGGAAUGAAAGGUGCACAAUAUGUGUGCCAGUCACCUUGGCAUUGACCGGCCAACCUUAUGCUCUGACAAUUAACCUAAAUUGAUUGAUGAUAUGUUUGAGAGCAGUUUCAGGUGUGGUGGUGUCCCCAAUAUUGGAGUAGAGCUCAAAUUUCAGUUAGAUAUAUUAUUUGUGAUUGUUGUGAACCUUUUCACUUAGAUCAUUUGUGAUAUAUUGUAAUUAAAUGUAAAAUGAAACUUUGGGGAGUUAAGAAAUACAAUUAAUUGACAAGACUGUCCCCUUGACAAGUAAAAUUGUCAGGCAUUAGACUGCCUGAGUAAAAUAAUAAGCUUGGGUGCAAUUAACUGCUGUAUGCUUUAAAGUUGGUUGCAUGCUUUAAAGUUGGUUGCAUGCUUUAAAGUUGGUUGCAAGCUAGCUGGGCUUAUAAAUGCCAGAACUCAUGUGAAAAAUGCUUGGAUCAAUUUAUUUCAUCCGUAAUGAACCCAUUUUUAAUCCUUUAAUUAAGUGGCAAUGCGCCCCACCACAAUAUUUUACUCCGUCCAAUGCCAGACAAUUUUACUUGUCAAGUUGAGAGUGCUGCCCCUCAAUGGGUUCAGUUGCAUUGCACCCUAAUGUAUAUGUUCGUGUUACUUUGUCUAACGCCAACAAUUUUACUUGUCAACAAGAGAGCACAGUGGUACGUGCUGAAUGGGUUAACAUAUAAAUAAUGUCUACUCUACAGUAAAUUUCCCUGUAAUUGGACUUUGGAGCCUGGUAUAUGUGACUCACUAUUUCUUCAAAGUGUGUUCUAAUGAUACUAGCUGUCACUAUUUUAUAAAUAUAAUUGACAUUUCUCAUUUAGGGUGAUCCAGGAUGUAGGUCAUGUGGACAAGUUCUUUGGAAUGUUCAAAUAACAAGAAUAGUGGUGUUAUAGUAGUGGUGGCACUUGCCAGACCUGAAUUGAGUUUUGAAUUGAGUUUUGAAACUCAAUCUUCUCACCAAAGUUUCAGUGCAGUAAAAAUGAAGUUGUUUGAGUUAAAUUUGUGACGUGUGGAAAUUAGUUUUCAGUUGGAAACCCGACAAUUAAGAAAAAAUGGCUGGAAUUCAUCUCACAACACAAGAAAAACUAUGCAUUCGCCAUUUUAACCAGUUUAUAGUGUCCCUCAAUGCCCCUGCUUUAACACAUUCCGUCUCAACUACAUUUGUUGAGUACAAGUGUCAGCCCCCCGGUAGGGGGGGGGGGGGUUGCAACCACCACAGCUGUUCAGCUAAACUCAAUCUUCUCUGCAAAAACGGAUCCAAGAGAAAAUCCUGAAAAAAAACCUGUUAUAUGUACUACAAGAAAUGGCCCAAGGCAUCAAAACAGGGGACAGCCAAAGAAUCACCCAUGGAGCUACAGUUAUAAUAAUACUCUAUCACAUAUUGUAACUUGAUUGUACAGUUAUAAUUAUUAAUUUGAUAAUUAUUCUUUGACCAAGUUUAAUUAAAAUAAUACAAAAUUAAUCAUGAUUUUGAAUCCUUAACAGUUAAACAACAGUGGCAUGGACUCAUGCAUUGUUGGAAAAUUCUGCAUCUCUAUUGUUUUGACACUAUUUUCAUGACCAAUUUUGUUGUUUUGACUUCAUUUUGACCAAGUCAGUCAGGUUAGUAACUAUCUUGUCUAACAUUUAGAGAUCUUGUCUUGUUCAAGUGAGAUCUCAAACUGAGCCA
Molecule: long non-coding RNA, 2676 nt
Filed under: Paramuricea clavata
Lineage: Eukaryota; Metazoa; Cnidaria; Anthozoa; Malacalcyonacea; Plexauridae
Source: RNAcentral